UCGAAUCUUUCUCGGACUGUAUC
RNAcentral lists this non-coding RNA (23 nucleotides) under Arabidopsis thaliana (thale cress). The record is from RNAcentral. Lineage: Eukaryota; Viridiplantae; Streptophyta; Magnoliopsida; Brassicales; Brassicaceae.